This 253-nucleotide ribosomal RNA is filed under the name uncultured bacterium. Its description in RNAcentral is "partial 16S ribosomal RNA". It matches the Rfam family "Bacterial small subunit ribosomal RNA", at positions 524 to 776 of the family's 1533-position model. The record is from RNAcentral.
GACGUAGGGCGCGAGCGUUGUCCGGAUUUAUUGGGCGUAAAGAGCUCGUAGGCGGCUUGUCGCGUCGUCUGUGAAAUCCCACGGCUCAACUGUGGGCUUGCAGUCGAUACGGGCAGGCUGGAGUUCGGUAGGGGAGACUGGAAUUCCUGGUGUAGCGGUGAAAUGCGCAGAUAUCAGGAGGAACACCGGUGGCGAAGGCGGGUCUCUGGGCCGAUACUGACGCUGAGGAGCGAAAGCGUGGGGAGCGAACAGG